Molecule: ribosomal RNA, 767 nt
Filed under: uncultured Russula
Lineage: Eukaryota; Fungi; Basidiomycota; Agaricomycetes; Russulales; Russulaceae
Description: partial 28S ribosomal RNA
Rfam family: Eukaryotic large subunit ribosomal RNA
Source: RNAcentral
GAAUCCCGUCUUUGACAUGGACCACCAGCGCAUUGUGGUUGUGCUCUCAACGAGUCGAGUUGUUUGGGAAUGCAGCUCUAAAUGGGUGGUAAAUUCCAUCUAAAGCUAAAUAUUGGCGAGAGACCGAUAGCGAACAAGUACCGUGAGGGAAAGAUGAAAAGCACUUUGGAAAGAGAGUGAAACAGUACGUGAAAUUGUUGAAAGGGAAACGCUUGAAGUCAGUCGCGUCGGCCGAGACUCAGCCUUGCCUUGGCUUGGUGUAUUUCUUGGCCGACGGGUCAGCAUCAAUUUCGCCCCUUGGAUAAUGAUGAGGGAAAUGUGACACCUUUACAGGUGUGUUAUAGUCUCUUGUCGCAUGCAAGGGUCGGGAUUGAGGAACUCAGCAUGCACCUUCGGGUGUCGGGACUUUUGUCCACGAUGCAUGCUUAGGAUGUUGGCGUAAUGGCUUUAAACGACCCGUCUUGAAACACGGACCAAGGAGUCUAACAUGCCCGCGAGUGUUUGGGUGGAAAACCCAUUCGCGAAAUGAAAGUGAAAGUUGGGACCUCUGUCGUGGAGGGCACCGACACCCGGACCAGACCUUCUGUGACGGAUCUGCGGUAGAGCGUGUAUGUUAGGACCCGAAAGAUGGUGAACUAUGCCUGAAUAGGGUGAAGCCAGAGGAAACUCUGGUGGAGGCUCGUAGCGAUUCUGACGUGCAAAUCGAUCGUCAAAUUUGGGUAUAGGGGCGAAAGACUAAUCGAACCAUCUAGUAGCUGGUUCCUGCC